UACGGGGGGGAGCAAGCGUUGUUCGGAUUUACUGGGCGUAAAGGGCGCGUAGGCGGCCAGCGCAAGUCAGUUGUGAAAUCUCCGGGCUUAACUCGGAAAGGUCAACUGAUACUGCGCGGCUAGAGUGCAGAAGGGGCAACUGGAAUUCUCGGGUGUAGCGGUGAAAUGCGUAGAUAUCGAGAGGAACACCUGCGGCGAAGGCGGGUUGCUGGGCUGACACUGACGCUGAUGCGGCGAAAGCCAGGGGAGCGAACGGG
This 257-nucleotide ribosomal RNA is filed under the name uncultured bacterium. Its description in RNAcentral is "partial 16S ribosomal RNA". It matches the Rfam family "Bacterial small subunit ribosomal RNA", at positions 524 to 776 of the family's 1533-position model. The record is from RNAcentral.